RNAcentral lists this unclassified non-coding RNA (20 nucleotides) under Mus musculus (house mouse). RNAcentral's name for it is "oocyte_clustered_small_RNA4318". Lineage: Eukaryota; Metazoa; Chordata; Mammalia; Rodentia; Muridae. The record is from RNAcentral.
UGACCCUGAUACUGCUAUGC